CCCUAUGGGGUGCAGCAGGCGCGAAAACUUUACAAUGCAGGCAACUGUGAUAAGGGAACCCCGAGUGCCCGUAUGGACGGGCUGUUCAGGUGCUUAAAAACCACCUGGAGAAAGGGCCGGGCAAGACCGGUGCCAGCCGCCGCGGUAAUACCGGCGGCUCGAGUGGUGGCCACUAUUACUGGGCUUAAAGCGUCCGUAGCUUGGUCGUUAAGCCUCUGGGGAAAUCUUCCGGCUCAACCGGAAGGCGUCUCAGGGGAACUGGCGGCCUAGGGAUCGGGAGAGGUGAGAGGUACUCUGGGGGUAGGAGUGAAAUCCUGUAAUCCUCAGGGGACCACCUGUGGCGAAGGCGUCUCACCAGAACGACUCCGACAGUGAGGGACGAAAGCUGGGGGAGCAAACCGG
RNAcentral lists this ribosomal RNA (402 nucleotides) under uncultured archaeon. Its description in RNAcentral is "bacterial SSU rRNA". It matches the Rfam family "Archaeal small subunit ribosomal RNA", at positions 321 to 727 of the family's 1478-position model. The record is from RNAcentral.